AGGUAUAAAAAGUUAUGAAAGGGACUUUGUUGAAAUGCAAACUAAUCUUAAGACAUGAAUGAGGUAUAAAAAGUUAUGAAAGGGACUUGGUUGAAAUGCAAACUAAUCUUAAGACAUGAAUGAGGUAUAAAAAGUUAUGAAAGGGACUUGGUUGAAAUGCAAACUAAUCUUAAGACAUGAAUGAGGUAUAAAAAGUUAUGAAAGGGACUUGGUUGAAAUGCAAACUAAUCUUAAGACAUGAAUGAGUUAUGAAAGGGACUUGGUUGAAAUGCAAAGAGGGAGCUAAACUAAUCUUAAGACAUUAAUCAGGUAUGUAUAUUUUUGUUGGUGUUUCAUUUUUUUCAUUUUUUUUUUUAUUUAAUUAGCACUUUCUGUUCAUAUUUAAAUCUGUUCUAAUGUAAGGGAUCAGAAAAAAGUUACAUGAAUUAUGAAUUGGACCUUUGUUCAUGAAUUCGAGAAUGUGUCUUGAUACAACAAAUCAUGAAUUUAUGGUAUAAAAUCAAUGUUUUUUGCUACUUGACACUUUCUGUUUGUAAUUUUCAUUCUUUAUUCUUGUUGCUGCUGUAGCAGAAUAUUAGAUCUCAUUAUUCUCAGUUUAAUAUUGUACUUGUAAUUGUACUUUUUACUUAAAA
Long non-coding RNA from Argiope bruennichi, 632 nucleotides. RefSeq lists it as uncharacterized. NCBI's taxonomy places the organism in Eukaryota, Metazoa, Arthropoda, Arachnida, Araneae, Araneidae. The record is from RefSeq and is a predicted model, not a curated record. The transcript is spliced from 5 exons.